Molecule: ribosomal RNA, 466 nt
Filed under: uncultured bacterium
Lineage: Bacteria
Description: partial 16S ribosomal RNA
Rfam family: Bacterial small subunit ribosomal RNA
Source: RNAcentral
GAUGAACGCUGGCGGCGUGCUUAACACAUGCAAGUCGAACGGAAAGGCUCCUGCUUGCAGGGGUACUCGAGUGGCGAACGGGUGAGUAACACGUGGGUGAUCUGCCCUGCACUUCGGGAUAAGCCUGGGAAACUGGGUCUAAUACCGGAUAGGACGAUGGUUUGGAUGCCAUUGUGGAAAGUUUUUCGGUGUGGGAUGAGCUCGCGGCCUAUCAGCUUGUUGGUGGGGUAAUGGCCUACCAAGGCGUCGACGGGUAGCCGGCCUGAGAGGGUGUACGGCCACAGUGGGACUGAGAUACGGCCCAGACUCCGACGGGAGGCAGCAGGGGGGAAUAUUGCACAAGGGGCGCAAGCCUGAUGCAGCGAGGCCGCGGGGGGGAUGACGGCCUUCGGGUUGUAAACUCCUUUCGCUAGGGACGAAGCGUUUUGUGACGGUACCUGGAGAAGAAGCACCGGCUAACUACGUG